This 509-nucleotide ribosomal RNA is filed under the name uncultured bacterium. RNAcentral describes it as "partial 16S ribosomal RNA". It matches the Rfam family "Bacterial small subunit ribosomal RNA", at positions 28 to 506 of the family's 1533-position model. The record is from RNAcentral.
GACGAACGCUGGCGGCGUGCUUAACACAUGCAAGUCGAACGAAGAGCGAUGGAAGCUUGCUUCUAUCAAUCUUAGUGGCGAACGGGUGAGUAACGCGUAAUCAACCUGCCCUUCAGAGGGGGACAACAGUUGGAAACGACUGCUAAUACCGCAUACGAUCUAACCUCGGCAUCGAGGAUGGAUGAAAGGUGGCCUCUAUUUAUAAGCUAUCACUGAAGGAGGGGAUUGCGUCUGAUUAGCUAGUUGGAGGGGUAACGGCCCACCAAGGCGAUGAUCAGUAGCCGGUCUGAGAGGAUGAACGGCCACAUUGGGACUGAGACACGGCCCAGACUCCUACGGGAGGCAGCAGUGGGGAAUCUUCCGCAAUGGACGAAAGUCUGACGGAGCAACGCCGCGUGAGUGAUGACGGCCUUCGGGUUGUAAAGCUCUGUUAAUCGGGACGAAAGGCCUUCUUGCGAAUAGUUAGAAGGAUUGACGGUACCGGAAUAGAAAGCCACGGCGAACUACGU